This 2432-nucleotide unclassified non-coding RNA is filed under the name Octopus sinensis (East Asian common octopus). RNAcentral's name for it is "monocarboxylate transporter 13-like, transcript variant X4". The record is from RNAcentral. Lineage: Eukaryota; Metazoa; Mollusca; Cephalopoda; Octopoda; Octopodidae.
GGUGUGACCUAGGUGUGUGGCAGCCCCGACCCCUCCCUCACUGGUCAAUCUGGCUUCCGAGCUGGACCCUAUACAUCACGUUAUCGGAGUCAGAAGAUGACCAUGAUGAAACCAAAGGACAAGGGAAAAGAUCCUGCCACACCUAUUAGGGUGUCUGGUCAUGAACAGCCAAGGCCCCAAAUCAUUGAACCACCGGACGGCGGCUGGGGUUGGGUCGUGACCUUCGCUUCGUUCCUUUGCAAUGUGAUUGUGGACGGGAUAUGUCUUUCGUAUGGGUCGAUAAAGCAAGUCUUUGAGGACCACUUUGGUGUCACGGCAACAGCAUCGACCCUGAUUGGCUCUCUGUUAACAGGCAGUUACCUCAUGAUUGGUCCUUUUGCAAGUACACUGGCCACGAAAUAUGGAUGUCGUAAGGUUACCAUUGCUGGCAGUAUCUUUGCAGCGGCUGCAUUUUUUAUUAGUAGUUUUUCAUCCAGCAUCCAGAUGUUGAUAGUGACCUAUGGAAUUCUGGGAGGCAUCGGAUUUGGAUUUAUCUACCUUCCUUCAAUUGUGAUAAUCGGGUAUUGGUUUGAGAAAAAACGAGCUUUUGCUACAGGGGUUGCAGUUUGUGGAAUGGGUCUCGGUACUUUUAUCUUCCCACCUCUUACUGAGUACUUGCUGCAGAAGUACAACUGGCAAGACUGUGUGAUAAUCAUAUCAGGACUGAUACUCAACUGUGCCGUGUGCGGAGCCCUUUUUCGUCCGGUCCGUCCACAGACGAAGCGGAUGAAACGGGGCUUCGUCGCACGGGGCUCGAUCAUGCGAGCCCUCAUUGAGGAGAAAAAGCGACAGCGUACCAUAUCUAACGGAUCUCUCGACAACUGUAUCAUCACCAACGACAACCGUCUCAUCAAAUUGGAUUGUAUCGGCUCCAACCGUAGCAGUAUUGCAUCCUACUUUCAGCGGUCGAGGAGCCCACACAGUUCAAAGUGCCCCAGCAGGAGCAGCCUGCUACCACAAAACAUAGUUGUCGAGUCCUUUAGGGUGGAUGGCACGACUACGAAACCCAUGAGCUCAAACUUGCUGAAACCCCCUGCUGUCCCAGCUAUCCACUCGAUGGACAUUCCUGAAAGCAACAAGCUGAUCACGAACAGUGUGUCCCUUAUGCCCAAAGCGAAAAGUUGUGAUUCCCUCACGCCUGAGGACCCUUGGGACAAACUCUCUGAGGAGGGCUCAUUGAGCACUCGUAGCCUCAGUUAUGUCGGCGUCAGUGACUCGCGUAUUGAGAUAAACACGCCCUCGGCUGAGGCAUCGGCUGUGAACAGCACGUCGGCGAGCCCAUGCGAAAGCAGGUGCGAAAGCCGACAGACUAUUAACACAUCAAACCAGGAAGACCCCCCCAAAUGUUAUCUUUACAAUUGUAACAGUGAUUUACCACCUUGCCUUAUGGGCUCCAGUAUUGUUAGCAUUGCUAAAUUCCAGGCCAGUAUUCGAAGUUUGGAAAGCAUUUACGAAAACAAUGGACACUCAAGAAAACUUCUACAGAUGUUCCAGGAAAUAAUUGAUCUGUCACUAUUCCGAAAUUUGACGUUCUGUGUUUUGCUUCUCUCUACAUUUCUUAGCAUGUUAGGUUUUUUCAUCCCGGUUGUCUAUUUGCCCGCAUUGGCCCAGCAAAUUGGCAUGAACAGCCAGGAAUCAUCAUACCUCGUGUCGGUCAGCGGUGUUACGAACAUUGUUGGACGGCUACUCUCAGGUUUUCUGGCUGACCGUCCAGUCUUCGGUGCGCUACACAUCAACAACACAGCACUCAUAAUGGUAGGAUUGUGCACCAUCUUCUGCCCGUUUCUCAAAGACAAGACCACGCUCAAUAUCUACAGCGGCAUCUAUGGUCUUGGAGUGGCUGCCUUUGUCUCACUGAGGUCCGUUUUACUUGUGGAUCUACUCGGCUUGGGUCAACUGACCAAAUCGUUUGGAUUACUUACGCUUUUCCAAGGUAUUGCCACAAUGGCAGGACUACCACUAGGAGGUUACCUCGAAGAUAUUACAGGAGAUGUGAACGCCACUUUUUAUAUGAGCGGCGUGAUGCUGACAUUGUCAGGUGUGAUCUCGCUCCCGCUCAACCGACUGAAGAAGUGGCAAGAGCAACGCGACCAAGGCAGCCCCGAAGAGGAGCCGAUCAAUGACCAAGAGGCCAAAACUGCGAGCCCGUCAGACAGCGGUGUCAGCGAAUUAUUUAAGACCGAGGAGUUUGUACAGAAUUAGAGAGUACUCCUUGUUUCUGUUUUUUUUUUUAUCUAUUUUGUUUUACGAAUACCAGGUUACCUCGAAGAGGUCACAGGAGAUGUGAAUGCCACUUUUUACAUGAGCGGCAUCAUGCUCACACUGUCUGGCGUGAUUUCGCUGCCCCUCAACCGACUCAAGAACUGGCAGAUGCGGCGUGACCAACGAGACUU